Molecule: long non-coding RNA, 611 nt
Filed under: Phasianus colchicus (ring-necked pheasant)
Lineage: Eukaryota; Metazoa; Chordata; Aves; Galliformes; Phasianidae
Description: lncRNA (ENSPCLG00000021934.1)
Source: RNAcentral
AAAAAGAAGUGAGGUCGACCAGAUGUAGAUAUAGCCAGUAAGGCUGCCCAGUGUUGAUGCUUCUGUAGCUCAUUCAUGGCCAUGGUUUUACUCCUUGAGGGACAUUUCAGCUACAAGUACAAAUACAGACACGAACAUGGUGUGAGCCUAAGGCAGGUUAUGAGUUCCACCUGGUCUUCUUCCUGAGCUGCUGGGAAGUAGAAAGGCACCAUCUUGUGGCCAGCAAAUAAGUGAGGACCCACAGAAGACCUCUCGUCUGAAAUGCACACUCUGCUCCUGCUUUUGUCUUGCUGCCUCAGAUAAAAAAUAUAUCUGGCAAGAAGAGAGGAGAAGCUUUCCACUUUCUGUUUUCGUAAGAUUUUAUUCACUGUGUAGUUAUUCAAACUAGAAAUGUGCUGAAGAAAGGGAGAGGUUUGUAAAUGCAUCUUCCAGAUGCUAGAGGGCGUAGAAGACACAGAAAGUCUCCGGAGUAGCCGUUGAAAAAGGUACGAGUGAGACAUUUAGAGCAACUUUCUGUUCUUGUAAAAGGAUGUUUACUGAUGUUCACACUGCUUCUGCUCUCUUUCUGAAGAGAACUGACCAAAAAGCAGAAGAAGCUUUCUGGAUUUUUA